CAACAGCGAAACUACUUGUCAUAUUUAUUUGAAUAUAGAUUCAACGUCUGGUUGGAAAAUGCAGGAACAAAUGCUGUUCUCUGACUGAACUUUGCGAGCCAUGGCCAUUUUUUCGCAUUUUUGAGCGAAAAAAUGGAGAUCUCUCGACGAGUAUCCGGAAUUGCUCGGUCCAGUCGACACGCUCGUGUUUCUGAGGCCGUAAUAUAGAACGUAGAAUUAUCAAGAUAUUUCGAU
Athalia rosae (coleseed sawfly) is the source of this 234-nucleotide long non-coding RNA. RefSeq lists it as uncharacterized. The record is from RefSeq and is a predicted model, not a curated record. NCBI's taxonomy places the organism in Eukaryota, Metazoa, Arthropoda, Insecta, Hymenoptera, Athaliidae. The transcript has 3 exons.